GGUGCGGCCUUUGUCUCUCGCUGCAGUCAGAGCUCCAGGUCUGGUUCUUACUGCUCUUAAAGGCACAGGCUCUGUGGCCCCGUGUCCUGCAGGUAUUGGGAGAUCCACAGCUAAGACACCGGGACCUCCUGAAAGCCAAAAAUGGGACCAUUGCAGUUUAGAGAUGUGGCCAUAGAAUUCUCUCUGGAGGAGUGGCAUUGCCUGGACACUGCACAGCGGAAUUUAUAUAAGGAUGUGAUGUUAGAGAACUACAGAAACCUGAUCUUCCUUGGUAUUACUGUUUCUAAGCCAGACCUGAUCACCUGUCUGGAGCAAGGAAGAAAACCUUUGACUAUGAAGAGAAAUGAGAUGAUAGCCAAACCCUCAG
Molecule: long non-coding RNA, 367 nt
Filed under: Pan troglodytes (chimpanzee)
Lineage: Eukaryota; Metazoa; Chordata; Mammalia; Primates; Hominidae
Description: lincRNA
Source: RNAcentral